This 968-nucleotide ribosomal RNA is filed under the name uncultured delta proteobacterium. Its description in RNAcentral is "bacterial SSU rRNA". It matches the Rfam family "Bacterial small subunit ribosomal RNA", at positions 8 to 977 of the family's 1533-position model. The record is from RNAcentral. Lineage: Bacteria; Deltaproteobacteria.
AGAGUUUGAUCCUGGCUCAGGAUGAACGCUAGCGGCAGGCUUAAUACAUGCAAGUCGAACGGGAUUCGGGGUAGCAAUACUUUGAUGAGAGUGGCGCACGGGUGCGUAACGCGUAUGCAACCUACCUUUAACAGGGGAAUAGCCCCGAGAAAUCGGGAUUAAUACUCCGUAACAUUGCGGUGUGGCAUCACACUGCACUUAAAGCUGAGGCGGUUAAAGAUGGGCAUGCGUGACAUUAGCUAGUUGGUGAGGUAACGGCUCACCAAGGCAACGAUGUCUAGGGGUCCUGAGAGGGUUAUCCCCCACACUGGUACUGAGACACGGACCAGACUCCUACGGGAGGCAGCAGUAAGGAAUAUUGGUCAAUGGGCGCAAGCCUGAACCAGCCAUGCCGCGUGCAGGAAGACGGCCCUUGGGUUGUAAACUGCUUUUGUCAGGGAAUAAACCCCCGCUCGUGAGCGGGGCUGAAGGUACCUGAAGAAUAAGCAUCGGCUAACUCCGUGCCAGCAGCCGCGGUAAUACGGAGGAUGCAAGCGUUAUCCGGAUUCAUUGGGUUUAAAGGGUGCGCAGGCGGAUUGGUAAGUCAGGGGUGAAAUCCCACAGCUCAACUGUGGAACUGCCUUUGAUACUGUCAGUCUAGAGUAUAGUUGAAGUUGGCGGAAUGUGUCAUGUAGCGGUGAAAUGCUUAGAUAUGACACAGAACACCGAUCGCGAAGGCAGCUAGCUAAGCUAUAACUGACGCUCAUGCACGAAAGCGUGGGGAUCAAACAGGAUUAGAUACCCUGGUAGUCCACGCUGUAAACGAUGAUUACUCGAUGUUGGCGAUACACAGUCAGCGUCUGAGCGAAAGCAAUAAGUAAUCCACCUGGGGAGUACGAUCGCAAGAUUGAAACUCAAGGAAUUGACGGGGGCCCGCACAAGCGGAGAGCAUGUGGUUUAAUUCAUGAUACCNCGAGGAACCUUACCUG